GAGGGUAUAGCUCAGUGGCAGAGUAUGUGCUUACCAUGCACCAGGUCCUGGGUUCAAUCCCCAGUAGCUCCA
RNAcentral lists this transfer RNA (72 nucleotides) under Camelus bactrianus (Bactrian camel). It matches the Rfam family "tRNA". From Rfam's summary of the family: Transfer RNA (tRNA) molecules are approximately 80 nucleotides in length. Their secondary structure includes four short double-helical elements and three loops (D, anti-codon, and T loops). The record is from Rfam by way of RNAcentral. RNAcentral also lists the same sequence under 2 other names. Lineage: Eukaryota; Metazoa; Chordata; Mammalia; Artiodactyla; Camelidae.